GACGAACGCUGGCGGCGUGCUUAACACAUGCAAGUCGAACGGAAAGGCCCUGCUUUUGUGGGGUGCUCGAGUGGCGAACGGGUGAGUAACACGUGAGUAACCUGCCCUUGACUUUGGGAUAACUUCAGGAAACUGGGGCUAAUACCGGAUAGGAGCUCCUGCUGCAUGGUGGGGGUUGGAAAGUUUCGGCGGUUGGGGAUGGACUCGCGGCUUAUCAGCUUGUUGGUGGGGUAGUGGCUUACCAAGGCUUUGACGGGUAGCCGGUCUGAGAGGGUGACCGGCCACAUUGGGACUGAGAUACGGCCCAGACUCCUACGGGAGGCAGCAGUGGGGAAUAUUGCACAAUGGGCGGAAGCCUGAUGCAGCAACGCCGCGUGCGGGAUGACGGCCUUCGGGUUGUAAACCGCUUUCGCCAGUGACGAAGCGUGAGUGACGGUAAUGGGUAAAGAAGCACCGGCUAACUACGUG
Molecule: ribosomal RNA, 468 nt
Filed under: uncultured bacterium
Lineage: Bacteria
Description: partial 16S ribosomal RNA
Rfam family: Bacterial small subunit ribosomal RNA
Source: RNAcentral